AUUUACAUUAAUAAAUUUAUUGUGCAAUUCAGUAUAACUUGAAAUUAUUUUUUUAUUUUUAAUUUUUUUUUUAUAUUUUUAAUAAAAAUAUUUUGUUUUUUAGUAAUAUCUUUGAAUUAAUAUUUUUUUUUGAUAGUAAAUUAUACUGUGAAGGUUAUUUAAUUUUUAAUAAAAAGUAUUUUUAAUUUAUUGUACCUUUUGCAUCAGGGUUUAUUAAAUUAUAAAAAUUAUUUUUUUUUCUCGAAAUUUUAUGAUUUAAAAAUAUUUGAUUUUUUUUGUUUCAAAACAAUUUUUAAAAUAUUUUUAGAAAUUAUAUGUUUUUCAAAUAAGAUUAUAUCUAGUUUUUUAAUAAAUGAAUUUAAUUCAUUUAUAAAAAGUUUUUUUAUAUUUUAUUAUAUAAAAUUUUUUGUAAAAAAUUUUUUGGGGAUAAUCUCAAAUUAUUUUUUAAAAAUUUUGUUUUUUAGAAUUUUUUUUAGGAUUGAAAAUUUCUAUUAUAUUUUGUUAUAAUUAUUAUUUCUUGGGAAUAAUUUUUAUGUUUUUAGUUUAUUAUUGAAAAAAUAAUUUUAAUUUUUAAAAUUAAUUUAUAAUGAUAAAAUUAUUAAUUUUGUUAAUUUUUUUAUAGUAACUCGGCAAAUUUAAUUUUCACCUGUUUAUCAAAAACAUGGUUUUUUGAGUUUUAUAUAAGAUCUAACCUGCCCAUUGAUUAAAAAUAUUAAAAGGCUGCGGUAUUUUAACUGUACGAAGGUAGCAUAAUCAUUUGUCUUUUAAUUGGAGACUAGAAUGAAUGGUUUGAUGAAAAACUGACUUUCUUUAAGAAAUUAUUUUGAAUUUAAUUUUUUAGUUAAAAAGCUAAAAUUUUUUUAUAGGACGAGAAGACCCUAUAGAAAUUUAUUUUUUUUAUAAAAUUAUUUUUUUAGUUUAUAAAUUUUAUUUUUAGAAUAAAGAAUUUUGUUGGGGUGACAUUAAAAUUUAAUUAACUUUUAAUUUUUUUUUUCAUAAAUUAGUGUUUUUUUGAUCCAAAUUUUUUGAUUAUAAGAUUAAUUUACCUUAGGGAUAACAGCGUAAUUUUUUUGGAGAGUUCAUAUCGAUAAAAAAGUUUGCGACCUCGAUGUUGAAUUAAGAUAAGAUUUGGGUGUAGAAUUUCAUUUUCUUGGUCUGUUCGACCAUUAAAUUCUUACAUGAUUUGAGUUCAGACCGGCGUGAGCCAGGUCGGUUUCUAUCCUUAAUUUAUAUAAGU
RNAcentral lists this ribosomal RNA (1237 nucleotides) under Husseyella turmalis. RNAcentral describes it as "partial 16S ribosomal RNA". The stretch from base 1053 to 1211 matches the Rfam family "Archaeal large subunit ribosomal RNA", at positions 2542 to 2701 of the family's 2987-position model. Lineage: Eukaryota; Metazoa; Arthropoda; Insecta; Hemiptera; Veliidae. The record is from RNAcentral.